This 482-nucleotide ribosomal RNA is filed under the name uncultured bacterium. RNAcentral's name for it is "partial 16S ribosomal RNA". It matches the Rfam family "Bacterial small subunit ribosomal RNA", at positions 28 to 507 of the family's 1533-position model. The record is from RNAcentral.
GAUGAACGCUAGCGGCAGGCCUAAUACAUGCAAGUCGGACGGGAUUCAGGAGCUUGCUUCUGAUGAGAGUGGCGCACGGGUGCGUAACACGUAUGUAACCUACCUUUAUCAGGGGGAUAGCCUCUCGAAAGAGAGAUUAAGCCCGCAUAAAAUCACAGCACAGCAUUGUGUAAUGAUCAAAUAUUUAUAGGAUAAAGAUGGGCAUGCGGAACAUUAGCUAGAUGGCGGGGUAACGGCCCACCAUGGCGACGAUGUUUAGGGGAUCUGAGAGGAUGGCCCCCCACACUGGUACUGAGACACGGACCAGACUCCUACGGGAGGCAGUAGUAAGGAAUAUUGGUCAAUGGGCGGAAGCCUGAACCAGCCAUGCCGCGUGCAGGAAGACGGCCCUACGGGUUGUAAACUGCUUUUAUACGGGAAUAAACCCAGAUACGUGUAUCUGGCUGAAUGUACUGUAAGAAUAAGGAUCGGCUAACUCCGUG